Schistosoma mansoni is the source of this 48-nucleotide non-coding RNA. Lineage: Eukaryota; Metazoa; Platyhelminthes; Trematoda; Strigeidida; Schistosomatidae. The record is from Rfam.
AUCCAGCUGACAAGUCCCGAAUAGGACGAAACGCGCGUCAAACUGGAU